This 40-nucleotide non-coding RNA is filed under the name Mycobacterium tuberculosis. The record is from RNAcentral. Lineage: Bacteria; Bacillati; Actinomycetota; Actinomycetes; Mycobacteriales; Mycobacteriaceae.
CCGACGAUGGCCAGUAAAUCGGCGUGGGUAACCGAUCCGG